CGAAAGCCUGACGGAGCAAGACCGCGUGAGGGAGGAAGGCCCUUGGGUUGUAAACCUCUUUUCUCAGGGAAGAAGCUCUGACGGUACUUGAGGAAUCAGCCUCGGCUAACUCCGUGCCAGCAGCCGCGGUAAGACGGAGGAGGCAAGCGUUAUCCGGAAUUAUUGGGCGUAAAGCGUCCGCAGGUGGCGAUUCAAGUCUGCUGUCAAAGCACGGGGCUUAACUCCGUUAAGGCAGUGGAAACUGAAUGGCUAGAGUGCCGUAGGGGUAGAGGGAAUUCCCGGUGUAGCGGUGAAAUGCGUAGAGAUCGGGAAGAACAUCGGUGGCGAAAGCGCUCUACUGGACCAUCCCUGACACUCAGAGGACGAAAGCUAGGGGAGCG
Molecule: ribosomal RNA, 380 nt
Filed under: uncultured cyanobacterium
Lineage: Bacteria; Bacillati; Cyanobacteriota
Description: bacterial SSU rRNA
Rfam family: Bacterial small subunit ribosomal RNA
Source: RNAcentral